Molecule: ribosomal RNA, 497 nt
Filed under: uncultured bacterium
Lineage: Bacteria
Description: partial 16S ribosomal RNA
Rfam family: Bacterial small subunit ribosomal RNA
Source: RNAcentral
GAUGAACGCUGGCGGCGUGCCUAAUACAUGCAAGUCGAGCGAACAGACGAGGAGCUUGCUCCUCUGACGUUAGCGGCGGACGGGUAAGAACCCGUUGACAACCCUCCUUUUAGAACUGGAGAAAAUUCGGCAAACCGGGCCUAAACCCGGCAAAGCAUUGGAACGCCAUGGUUAACAGUUCCACCAGGCUUUUCCCCUCCCUUAAGAGUGGUCCCGGGCCCAAUUAGCUAGUUGGUAAGGUAACGGCUUACCAAGGCAACGAUGCGUAGCCGACCUGAGAGGGUGAUCGGCCACACUGGAACUGAGACACGGUCCAGACUCCUACGGGAGGCAGCAGUAGGGAAUCUUCCGCAAUGGGCGAAAGCUUGACGGAGCAACGCCGCGUGAGUGAUGAAGGUCUUCGGAUCGUAAAACUCUGUUAUUAGGGAAGAACAAAUGUGUAAGUAACUAUGCACGUCUUGACGGUACCUAAUCAGAAAGCCACGGCUAACUACGUG